CCUACGGGAGGCAGCAGUGAGGAAUAUUGGUCAAUGGGCGGGAGCCUGAACCAGCCAAGCCGCGUGAGGGAAGAAGGUACAGCGUAUCGUAAACCUCUUUUGUCAGGGAACAAAGGCGGGGACUAGUCCCCGGAUGAGGGUACCUGAAGAAAAAGCAUCGGCUAACUCCGUGCCAGCAGCCGCGGUAAUACGGAGGAGGCGAGGGUGAUCCGGAUUUAUUGGGGUAAAAGGGUGCGCAGGCGGCCUGUUAAGUCAGCGGGAAAAGCCGGGGGCUCAACCCCGGCGAGCCGUUGAAACUGGCGGGCUGGAGUUGGAGAGAGGUACGCGGAAUGCGCGGUGUAGCGGUGAAAUGCUUAGAUAUCGCGCAGAACCCCGAUUGCGAAGGCAGCGUACCGGCUCCACACUGACGCUGAGGCACGAAAGCGUGGGUAUCGAACAGGAUUAGAUACCCGGGUAGUC
RNAcentral lists this ribosomal RNA (459 nucleotides) under uncultured bacterium. RNAcentral's name for it is "partial 16S ribosomal RNA". It matches the Rfam family "Bacterial small subunit ribosomal RNA", at positions 338 to 795 of the family's 1533-position model. The record is from RNAcentral.